GGAGAACAAAGAUUCUUUGAAGGCAGGGGAGAAUAUUAGAUAAAAGAAAUUCCAGUACUAGCAGAUUCUUUGAAGCAAAUAUCAGGAACAUACCUGACUUUAUAUGUUAUAAACAAGGAAAAAAGAGUGAAACACCAAAAAUAUUAUAUAAGAACUUUCAUAAGCAAUAGUCUGAAGUAAAACAGCAAGAACGUUAGACUAUCCAAGGAUGUUUUAGGGUCAUGAUUACAUAUCUAGAACGACUAGGAAAA
Molecule: unclassified non-coding RNA, 251 nt
Filed under: Hevea brasiliensis (rubber tree)
Lineage: Eukaryota; Viridiplantae; Streptophyta; Magnoliopsida; Malpighiales; Euphorbiaceae
Source: RNAcentral